Molecule: small RNA, 61 nt
Filed under: Salmonella enterica subsp. enterica serovar Typhi str. M223
Lineage: Bacteria; Pseudomonadati; Pseudomonadota; Gammaproteobacteria; Enterobacterales; Enterobacteriaceae
Description: Salmonella enterica sRNA STnc310
Rfam family: Salmonella enterica sRNA STnc310
Source: Rfam by way of RNAcentral
AUUGUGACAUAGUUAAACAAAACGCCCGGCAGGUGUACGCUGCCGGGCGUUUUUGAUGGGG